GGGUAAUCAGAUGCCGUGGGCCGCGUGAAGGUGUAGGUCCCGAGCGUGUUCCGGAGUUAUUGGGCGUAAAGCGGGGGCAGGGGGUGUUAUAAUGCUGAAGUAAAAGGCAGUGGCUCAACGAGUUGGUGCGUUGGAAACUGUACAACUUGAGUGCAGAAGGGGAGAGUGGAAUUCCAUGUGGAGCGGUGAAAUGCGUAGAUAUAUGGAGGAACACCGGUGGCGAAAGCGGCUCUCUGGUCUGUAACUGACACUGAGGCUCGAAAGCGUGGGGAGCAAACAGGAUUAGAUACCCGUGUAGUC
This 300-nucleotide ribosomal RNA is filed under the name uncultured Methanosarcina sp. Its description in RNAcentral is "bacterial SSU rRNA". It matches the Rfam family "Bacterial small subunit ribosomal RNA", at positions 495 to 795 of the family's 1533-position model. The record is from RNAcentral. Lineage: Archaea; Methanobacteriati; Methanobacteriota; Methanomicrobia; Methanosarcinales; Methanosarcinaceae.